UACGGAGGGUGCAAGCGUUAUCCGGAUUCACUGGGUUAAAGGGAGCGUAGGUGGCUUUGUAAGUCAGUGGUGAAAUCUUAGAGCUCAACUCUAAAACUGCCAUUGAUACUGCUUAGCUUGAAUCACGUCGAGGUGGAAUGGAAUAUUACAUGUAGCGGUGAAAUGCUUAGAUAUGUAAUAGAACACCGAUUGCGAAGGCAGUUCACUAGGCGUGUAUUGACAACUGAGGCUCGAAAGCGUGGGGAUCAAACAGG
This 254-nucleotide ribosomal RNA is filed under the name uncultured bacterium. RNAcentral's name for it is "partial 16S ribosomal RNA". It matches the Rfam family "Bacterial small subunit ribosomal RNA", at positions 524 to 776 of the family's 1533-position model. The record is from RNAcentral.